RNAcentral lists this long non-coding RNA (826 nucleotides) under Homo sapiens (human). RNAcentral's name for it is "HSALNT0032804". The record is from RNAcentral. Lineage: Eukaryota; Metazoa; Chordata; Mammalia; Primates; Hominidae.
GUGGUGCUGAGUGUGAGAGCACUGUUUGGGGGUGCCUUAUACUAUGCCACAUAUAUCUGUCAUUGAAUUAGCGAAAGGGUCUCUUGGGGCCUUUUAUCUCCAGAGGGCUGCCCUGUAGCCAUUCUGCCUACUUGUGAGGCAAACCAAGAAAUAGGUGUCCUCUUCUGGCCUCCGUGACAUUUGGUGGUAUUACUAUAUCUCUCUAUGAAAGGGUUCACUUUCUGCCACCUUUUUCCCUCUUUCUUCCUCUCCUUUUGCAUUUUUUGGUCUUUUGAUAAUUUUACAUGCCUCCUGUUUGUAGGUAUUUUGUGCAAAAAAAAAGUUGAUUCCUGUGUUAGACACCUUCCCCCACAGUACUUAUAUGUGUUUUCCCUGAUUUCUGGAUGCGUAAGUACUGAAUUAUAGCAACGCCUUACAAGUGAUCCAGCCUGACAGCAUUACCGCUACUGUCAUCUGAUCCCGUGAUAGGCUAAAGUAUUGUUCAGCCAAAAUUUAUUCCCUUGUUUCUUCCACUUAGAUAGGAGUUUACCUUCCCCAUUGCCUUUGAGCUUUGCCAUUUAGCUCCUUGGCUAGUGGACUAAGUGGAUGUGAUGCAAGCGGAGGCAUCAAAAUGUUUUCACACAAUCGCAUGUGGACUCCUGCAUACGUGUGACCCAGCAUGCCUUGGGUAGAUGCUGCCCUUUCAGCCUGGCACCAGAACAAAGACAGGAGUGUGCCUGAAUUUAGCCUGCAGCCCUGAUCAAACCCAGCUGCCUCACAGCCUAAAGAAGAACACCCCAGUCAACCCACAGACCCAUGCGUGAGAAAAAUAAAUGCUUAUUGAAAC